GACGAACGCUGGCGGCGUGCUUAACACAUGCAAGUCGAACGGAAAGGCCCCUUCGGGGGUACUCGAGUGGCGAACAGGUGAGUAACACGUGAGUAACCUGCCCUUGACUUCGGGAUAACUUCAGGAAACUGGGGCUAAUACCGGAUAGGAAUCCUUGCUGCAUGGUGGGGGUUGGAAAGCUUCGGCGGUUUUGGAUGGACUCGCGGCUUAUCAGCUUGUUGGUGGGGUAGUGGCUUACCAAGGCUUUGACGGGUAGCCGGCCCGAGAGGGCGACCGGCCACAUUGGGACUGAGAUACGGCCCAGACUCCUACGGGAGGCAGCAGUGGGGAAUAUUGCACAAUGGGCGGAAGCCUGAUGCAGCAACGACGAGUGCGAGAUGACGGCCUUCGGGUUGUAAAACGAUUUCAGCAGGGGCGAAGCUUGUGGUGACGGUACCUGCAGAAGAAGCACCGGCUAACUACAUG
This 465-nucleotide ribosomal RNA is filed under the name uncultured bacterium. Its description in RNAcentral is "partial 16S ribosomal RNA". It matches the Rfam family "Bacterial small subunit ribosomal RNA", at positions 28 to 507 of the family's 1533-position model. The record is from RNAcentral.